This 1186-nucleotide unclassified non-coding RNA is filed under the name Zea mays. RNAcentral's name for it is "misc RNA Zm00001eb173430". The record is from RNAcentral. Lineage: Eukaryota; Viridiplantae; Streptophyta; Magnoliopsida; Poales; Poaceae.
AAAAAAAGGAACCGCCUUUUUCCUCGUCUUCCCAACAACGAACACCAAACACAUACCAAAAUCGUAUCUAAAAAACGAGAAAUUUGUCGCCCCAAUAAUUGUUAAUACCACCACGCUCCAAGCACAAGAUUCUCGUGACAAUACAAUUCCGGCGACCCGCCUAAACCCCACCAAGAUCCGAGAGUCCACGCCGGGAGAAGGCAGAAAGUUCAGUGAGGAGGCAAAUGGGGAGGGGAAGGCUGAGCUCACCUCCAAUGACGUGCACGCCGCCGAGGACGACUACGCCGGCGCACAGGAACGCGAAGAGCGCAGCGAAGACACGCCGCUGCGGCGCCGCCGCCACCGACCGGUGGGCCCUGGCAGCAGGCGAACCGCCGCCGCCGCCGCUGCCACUUCCAGCCGCCGCACCGCCCUUACAACUCCCGAGCCUGCUCAGCUUCCUCUCCUUCGCCGAUAUCGCCAUCGCCGGCGCCAGUCACAACCGCCGCUGCCGCUCCGGCAGCAGCCCAGAUCCCAAAGCGGCGGCAGCGAGCCUCACAGGCCCACAGCAUCCGCAACGCGCUACGGGGAGUCAGGGAGCAUCGGCGCCCCGCCAAUAUCUCGACGGUUAGUUGGUUGCCGUGGACGAGGGAGAGAGAAGGCGAAGCGGCGGCGGGGGCCGGCGAAUCCGGAGCGGUCAGUUGCGUUCGCAAGGAAGGAAGCUUGCUUUGCCGACUCCUGCUGCUGCAGCAGUGCCUGGUGGGCAACCGGCGCGUUUAUACCUGCGCCCACGCCUCUGACCGGUGGGGCCUGCGCGUUCCUCCUGAUCCCACACGUCGGUGGCGUGAGGCACGCCGCGAAGCGCGGUCCUGCGACGCGUGGCUGGGAAUGACGUGUGGGCCCGUUGAGACGUGUGGGGUCGCUUCUAACGGCACGGACACGUCGGGCCAAUGGGGCGGCGGCUUCGCUGGGUGUGGUUAUUUCAUAUGGACGUGCUGUAUGACAGUGGGGUCAGAAAGCAUGGGUCCACUAUGCCAGUUACCGAGGUUGGGGGUAGGCGUUGGUGUCUGGUGAUUUGGAUGCAACGGCAAUAAUUGAUGCGCACAUGGGGGGGAAAGGUAUUAUUCUGCAAUUCUGCCUGUCCCUUGAUGGAAUUUUAUCUUCUACUCCUGAAUAUAACUAGUCAUACUUCUCACAUAUAACACAG